RNAcentral lists this transfer RNA (65 nucleotides) under Sternolophus sp. STE01. Its description in RNAcentral is "tRNA-Leu". Lineage: Eukaryota; Metazoa; Arthropoda; Insecta; Coleoptera; Hydrophilidae. The record is from RNAcentral.
GUUACUUUGGCAGAUUAGUGCAUUAAAUUUAGAAUUUAAUUAUGUAUUUAAACGUACAGGUAAUA